Long non-coding RNA from Astatotilapia calliptera (eastern happy), 1097 nucleotides. NCBI's taxonomy places the organism in Eukaryota, Metazoa, Chordata, Actinopteri, Cichliformes, Cichlidae. The record is from Ensembl.
AUUGGCAGCCCCUCAUAUAGAUGUCUGUUUUUUAAGGUCUCUGUUGGUGUUAUGGUUAUGAUAAUAGCUCCCCCUGGUCCCACACAAGCUGGAUGGAAUAUUCUCCAUAUCACUUCCACAUGUAAUCUACUCAGAUUUCCGCUCACUGAGUGCAAAGGCCAAAUGGGUCAGUUUGAGACCACAGAAAUCUGUUUGGAAAGUUGUAUCAGACCAGAGGACAAUUUUACAGGAAGAGAGCUUUCAUACCACCACCAAUGCUGAGAAUUCCCUCUUCACAAUGCAUGAAUUGCACCUCUAUCUCUGGAUUUUUUUGUGAUAUUUCCUUUGUGGCGUCAAAAUGAUGUCUCACAGUUUUUCUUAUUUCAUUUUCAUGUGUUGCUGUAAGGUGAGGUGAUAUGAAAUGUCUAAAUUUGCCUUAUCACCUUAUGAUAAAAAAAAAAAAAUCCAUCAGAAAGUUUCUAUAUCCACAAUCAGAUAGAAUCAUGCAGUGCCAUCAAUAAGAUUUUGAGUAAUCCUGCGUGACAAAAAUAAAUAAAUUAAUACAUACAAAAAUAAAAUACACAAACGAAUCAUCCGUAAUGAUGGAAAUAACUGUAACUCUUUUUAAAACAAGCUUGCUUCAGUGGUGAUCUCCUGCUGUCACAGCUGCGAUGGCAGGCUGUGUGGAGUGUGGAAAUUAGGACCCAAGAUGCAGGCACAGCCUCUGAUGUGAGUGAGCAUUAUUUUGACAGUGACGGUACAAAUAGCAGUGAUGAUGGCAAGUGCAGAACCUAAACUGGAAAAAACUAACAAAAGCAAACUUGAACCCUUUAAAUGGCAACACAUGGAGACAGGGCAAAACACAAACAAACCAUCAAAAAGCAGGUAAAAACACAGGGCUUAUAUACACACAGAAACAAUCAGGGAAUGAGAAAAAGGAGGGAGAAACAGCUGGGGUAAUUAGACAAGAGCACAGAGAACACUAGACACUGGGAAUAACCACAAACAACCCAAAAUAAACAAAACCACAGAAUAUUAAUCAACUUAAAACAUAAACACGGAAUCCACAGACUCCAGACCGUGACAUCUGCGUUAGCUCUAAGGCUGACUUUCCCCAC